This is a long non-coding RNA of Stegodyphus dumicola, 1899 nucleotides long. The record is from RefSeq and is a predicted model, not a curated record. NCBI's taxonomy places the organism in Eukaryota, Metazoa, Arthropoda, Arachnida, Araneae, Eresidae.
UUUGCAUACCAGAGAAGCUUGACAAGACAUAUAAAAGUGCAGCAUUCAAUUCCAAGAAACAUUUGUGCCAUGUGCAAAAAGGAGUUUUCUCGCAAGGAUAGUUUAAUGAUGCAUAUGAAAAUGCAUUCAGAACCCCAGAAAUCCGCGCCAUCUCGCUCAGUGAAACGAGCAGCUCCCCGUGCCACUACGCCCGCCCCUAAACGACCACAGCAAGAACGUCCACCCUGCCUUGGUACGUUUGCUACGGAAAUCAUUUAUCCUAGUGAAGAAACCAAGAAUGACUUACAAGUGUUUUUAGAGUUGUCAAAAACUGAAGUUGCGGGAAAGAUUCAAGAAACUGCCGCACAGCGCCAAGGUAUGAAAUGGUACUUGAAUGCUUGUGUGAAGAUGGUCAGAAAAGUGUCAGAGACCGAGCAGGAAACAUGCACCCCUUUUCUUUCGGUCCAGAUGCAGCACUACGCUCACAGGAGAAAUGCCCGACAUGCAAGCAGCUUUUGAAAAGGUUCUGAAUUACUUGGACAAAUUUCUAAAAAAAGGUUCAGGAUGGGUUUAGACUCCGUCCAAUACAUGGAGCUCAAGACCGCUGUCUACAAACCCCUGACGGCCUCUUCUUACAUACCUCUGCCGAAAGCCUUAGCCAGUAAGAAGGCUAUUCUCAAUAUACAGAAUGAAGACCACAAAUGUCUGAUCCCUUCAAUCCCGUUGAAGAUUUUCAUGAUCAUCCAUACAGGGUAUCUCACUACAAGCCCUAUGAAAGAGAAAUCAAUAUAGAUGGUCUCACUUUCCCUACCCCGAUUCACCAGCUCGACAAGUUCGAGAAAAUGAACAAUCUAUAGAUCAACGUGUUCGGUUGGGAAAACAAUGAGAUUUUACCUCUUCGGAUCACCAAGUGUCGAAAUGGUGAUCGUCAUAUCAAUCUGCUGUUCAUUUCCAAUGACGAGAAGAGACAUUAUUGUGGCAUCAAGAACAUGUCUCGUCUUUUUGCAGGCCUCACGAAAAACCAACAGGAAAAAUUUUAUUGUGACCAUUUCCUUCUCCGAUUCAUAAAGAAAGAGACUACAAAAAAUUAAAAUGCCUAAAGAUAAAUGGUUAAAAUUUGACAUGCACCAGUUUCAGCUUCCUGUCCCUUAUAUCAUCUAUGCCGACUUUGAAUGCAUUUUAGUAAAGCAAGCUACCUGCCUACCAGAUCCUUCGAAGUCCUCCACCACCCCUGUAGCUGACCAUCUUCCUUGUGGAUAUUGUUACGUGAUCGUGGGACCCUACGGUUAAUUUUAUAGGGAACCUCAAGUCUCUAGAGGAAAAGAUGCCGUCAACCAUUUUCUAGAGUCUUUACUGGAAGAAGAAAGGGGCAUCUUUGAAAUUUUGAAAACUGUAGAGCCCAAGAUUUUCUCCAAGAAAAUCAAUUGGCCUACGAAUCUGCCUUUGAAUGUCAUAUCUGUGAGAAGCCAUUGAAUGAAGAUAAGGUGCGGGACUAUUGCCAUCUUACGGGAGUCUACAGAGGAGCAGCUCAUAAUGGAUGCAACAUCAAUUUGAAAUUUGCAAAUUUUCUGCCCGUGGUCUUCCAUAAUCUGAAAGGGUAUGACUCUCACCUCCUGAUGCAAGCGGUAGGAAAAUUCAAAGACGAAGAGAUUAAGUGUAUUCCGCAGAAUUCAUAAAAAUUCAUCUGUGUUUCUUUGGGUCGUCUACGCUUCAUCGAUUCUCUGCAAUUUCUGAAUGCUUCCCUAGACAAGCUCACGGCUGAUUUGGAGCCAGAACAAUUCCAACUGACAAGAAAAAAACAGAUCUGAUGCUUCGAAAAGGUGUCUAUCCUUAUGAGUAUCUAGACUCGUUUGAACGAUUUGAUGAGCUGCACCUUCCACCUCUCACUGCCUUCUACAGCCAUUUAACAGAGAGUGAUAA